Anoplopoma fimbria (sablefish) is the source of this 182-nucleotide long non-coding RNA. RefSeq lists it as uncharacterized. The record is from RefSeq and is a predicted model, not a curated record. The transcript is spliced from 3 exons. NCBI's taxonomy places the organism in Eukaryota, Metazoa, Chordata, Actinopteri, Perciformes, Anoplopomatidae.
CUGACAUGCAGCAGAACCCUGGGCUCUCUACUGGACUAAAUCAUUUCCUGAGUAAAUAUGAAGGGGCUUCUUCAAAGGAGGACGCUCAGCCCCUUGGAGCGAGAGAGGGAGGGGAUCAGGAUGGCUGCAGGGACAGACCAGCCAGAGAAUCCGCCUCACACAUCAGACGACCCGACUUUAGA